AUUUAGGUUGGUGCAAAAGUAAUUGCAGUUUUUGUCAUUACUUUUAAUUGCAAAAACUGCAAUUACUUUUGCACCAACCUAAAU
Molecule: microRNA precursor, 84 nt
Filed under: Chlorocebus sabaeus (green monkey)
Lineage: Eukaryota; Metazoa; Chordata; Mammalia; Primates; Cercopithecidae
Description: mir-548 microRNA precursor family
Rfam family: mir-548 microRNA precursor family
Source: Rfam by way of RNAcentral